GAGCUUGCUCUGUGGGAUCAGUGGCGAACGGGUGAGUAACACGUGAGCAACCUGCCCCUGACUCUGGGAUAAGCGCUGGAAACGGCGUCUAAUACUGGAUACGAGUAGCGACCGCAUGGUCAGUUACUGGAAAGAUUUAUUGGUUGGGGAUGGGCUCGCGGCCUAUCAGCUUGUUGGUGAGGUAAUGGCUCACCAAGGCGUCGACGGGUAGCCGGCCUGAGAGGGUGACCGGCCACACUGGGACUGAGACACGGCCCAGACUCCUACGGGAGGCAGCAGUGGGGAAUAUUGCACAAUGGGCGCAAGCCUGAUGCAGCAACGCCGCGUGAGGGAUGACGGCCUUCGGGUUGUAAACCUCUUUUAGCAGGGAAGAAGCGAAAGUGACGGUACCUGCAGAAAAAGCGCCGGCUAACUACGUGCCAGCAGCCGCGGUAAUACGUAGGGCGCAAGCGUUAUCCGGAAUUAUUGGGCGUAAAGAGCUCGUAGGCGGUUUGUCGCGUCUGCUGUGAAAUCCGGAGGCUCAACCUCCGGCCUGCAGUGGGUACGGGCAGACUAGAGUGCGGUAGGGGAGAUUGGAAUUCCUGGUGUAGCGGUGGAAUGCGCAGAUAUCAGGAGGAACACCGAUGGCGAAGGCAGAUCUCUGGGCCGUAACUGACGCUGAGGAGCGAAAGGGUGGGGAGCAAACAGGCUUAGAUACCCUGGUAGUCCACCCCGUAAACGUUGGGAACUAGUUGUGGGGUCCAUUCCACGGAUUCCGUGACGCAGCUAACGCAUUAAGUUCCCCGCCUGGGGAGUACGGC
RNAcentral lists this ribosomal RNA (800 nucleotides) under Microbacterium foliorum. RNAcentral's name for it is "bacterial SSU rRNA". It matches the Rfam family "Bacterial small subunit ribosomal RNA", at positions 76 to 886 of the family's 1533-position model. Lineage: Bacteria; Bacillati; Actinomycetota; Actinomycetes; Micrococcales; Microbacteriaceae. The record is from RNAcentral.